CCUGGUUGAUCCUGCCAGUAAUCAUAUGCUUGUCUCAAAGAUUAAGCCAUGCAUGUCUAAGUACAUGCCGAAAUAAGGCGAAACCGCGAAUGGCUCAUUAAAUCAGUUAUGGUUCCUUAGAUCGUUUCUUCCUACUUGGAUAACUGUGGCAAUUCUAGAGCUAAUACAUGCAGUGAGCCUGGAGCCCUUUGGGUAACGGGUGCUUUUAUUAGACCAAGAUCGAUCGGGUUUCGGCCCGUAUUGUGUGGUGACUCUGGAUAACUUUGUGCUGAUCGCAUGGCCACGAGCCGGCGACGUUUCUUUCAAGUGUCUGCCUUAUCAACUUUCGAUGGUAGGUUACUUGCUUACCAUGGUUGUUACGGGACAUCAGGGUUCGAUUCCGGAGAGGGAGCCUGAGAAACGGCUACCACAUCCAAGGAAGGCAGCAGGCGCGCAAAUUACCCACUCCCGGCACGGGGGGUAGCUGACGAACAGGAAAUAACAAUUACCGGGGACUUUUUGAGGCCCCCCCGGUAAUUGGAAAUGAUACCUCUAAAUCCUUUUUAAACGAGGAGAUCAAUGGGAGAGCAAGUUCUGUGGCAGGCAGGCCCCCGUAUUCCAGUCCAUAGCGUUACUAAAAGCUGGCUGGCGGUUAACAAGCUCGUAGUUGGAUCUCAGUUCCAGACGAGUAGUGCAUCUACCCGAUGCGACGGCUCGGACUGAACAUCAUGCCGGUUCUUUCUUGGUGCACUUCAUUGUGUGCCUCGAGAUGGCCGGUGCUUUUACUUUGAAAAAAUUAGAGUGCUCAACGCAGGCGAGUCGCCUGAAUAAACUUGCAUGGAAUAAUAGAACAAGACCUCGUUUACGUUCUGUUGGUUUUUGGAAUACGAGGUAAUGAUUAAGACGGACGGGGGCAUUCGUAUUGCGGCUCCGCUAGAGGAAAUUCUUGGACCGUCGCAAGACGAACUACUGCGAAAGCAUUUGCCAAGAAUGUUUUCAUUGAUCAAGAACGAAAGUCAGAGGUUCGAAGGCGAUCAGAUACCGCCCUAGUUCUGACCAUAAACGAUGCCAACCAGCGAUCCGCCUGAGUUACUCAAAUGACUCGGCGGGCAGCUUCCGGGAAACCAAAGUAUUUGGGUUCCGGGGGAAGUAUGGUUGCAAAGCUGAAACUUAAAGGAAUUGACGGAAGGGCACCACCAGGAGUGGAGCCUGCGGCUUAAUUUGACUCAACACGGGAAAACUUACCCGGCCCGGACACUGGGAGGAUUGACAGAUUGAGAGCUCUUUCUUGAUUCGGUGGAUGGUGGUGCAUGGCCGUUCUUAGUUGGUGGAGCGAUUUGUCUGGUUAAUUCCGAUAACGAACGAGACUCUAGCCUAUUAAAUAGGUGCGGGGUUCCCAGCACCUUACAACCUUCUUAGAGGGACAAGCGGCUCCUAGCCGCACGAAACAGAGCAAUAACAGGUCUGUGAUGCCCUUAGAUGUCCGGGGCCGCACGCGCGCUACACUGAAGGAAGCAGCGUGUCUUUAUCCCUGUCUGAAAAGACUGGGUAACCCGUGGAACUUCUUUCGUGAUUGGGAUAGGGGCUUGCAAUUGUUCCCCUUGAACGAGGAAUUCCCAGUAAGCGCGAGUCAUAAGCUCGCGUUGAUUACGUCCCUGCCCUUUGUACACACCGCCCGUCGCUACUACCGAUUGAAUGAUUUAGUGAGGUCUUCGGACCGAUGUCCGGCGCGGCCUUUCGGUUGCGCCGGUCUGUUGGAAAGAUGACCAAACUUGAUCAUUUAGAGGAAGUAAAAGUCGUAACAAGGUUUCCGUAGGUGAACCUGCGGAAG
RNAcentral lists this ribosomal RNA (1810 nucleotides) under Rhipicephalus microplus (southern cattle tick). RNAcentral describes it as "SSU rRNA". It matches the Rfam family "Eukaryotic small subunit ribosomal RNA". The record is from RNAcentral. Lineage: Eukaryota; Metazoa; Arthropoda; Arachnida; Ixodida; Ixodidae.